This 253-nucleotide ribosomal RNA is filed under the name uncultured bacterium. RNAcentral describes it as "partial 16S ribosomal RNA". It matches the Rfam family "Bacterial small subunit ribosomal RNA", at positions 524 to 776 of the family's 1533-position model. The record is from RNAcentral.
UACGUAGGUGGCGAGCGUUGUCCGGAUUUACUGGGCGUAAAGAGCGCGCCGGCGGUCGUGCAAGUCGCGUGUGAAAGCCCCCGGCUCAACUGGGGAGGGUCACGCGAUACUGCUCGACUUGAAGGCAGGAGAGGGAAGUGGAAUUCCCGGUGUAGUGGUGAAAUGCGUAGAUAUCGGGAGGAACACCAGUGGCGAAGGCGACUUCCUGGCCUGUUCUUGACGCUGAGGCGCGAAAGCGUGGGGAGCAAACAGG